RNAcentral lists this long non-coding RNA (434 nucleotides) under Ananas comosus (pineapple). Its description in RNAcentral is "long non-coding RNA (ACOM_LNC022947)". Lineage: Eukaryota; Viridiplantae; Streptophyta; Magnoliopsida; Poales; Bromeliaceae. The record is from RNAcentral.
AAUAACUAGAAAAUAAUUUUUUAUAUAAUUUUUGGUCAAAAAAUAAAAUAAUAUUUUUUUCUAUGGGUGAUAUAAAAAAAAGAAAAAACUUCAAGUAUCACUCCUAUGGUUUCGCACUUUCUCACUUUAAUAGCAUGUAACUUAAAGUGUAUCACUUACGUACUCUGUGGUUUUAUUUUUCUUUUUUUGUUAUCUCCUCUACUAAUUUUUUUUCGUUAAAUCAGUGAUAAAGAUAAAACUAAAAUGUACUAAAGUGAAUAUUCGAUAAACUAUCGGUGGGGUAUUUGAAAUUUUUUAUAUAUAAUUUAAUAAAAAGUUAACAGAGAGGGUGACGAAAAAAUAAAAAAAACACAACAGGGUACUAAAUUGGUAAAUUUUAAACCACAAGGUACUAAAGUGAGAAAUUAUGAAACCGCAAGGGUGGUAUUUAAAGU